GCAAGUAGCCAUAUCACUCUGCAAAUCACAACUGGCUAUCCUCUUAAGCUAAGCAGGUGUGAGCCUGGUCAGUACCUGGAUGGGAGACCUCCUGGGAAAAACUAAGGUUGCUGCUGGAA
RNAcentral lists this ribosomal RNA (119 nucleotides) under Lepisosteus oculatus (spotted gar). Lineage: Eukaryota; Metazoa; Chordata; Actinopteri; Semionotiformes; Lepisosteidae. The record is from RNAcentral.